Molecule: ribosomal RNA, 440 nt
Filed under: uncultured bacterium
Lineage: Bacteria
Description: partial 16S ribosomal RNA
Rfam family: Bacterial small subunit ribosomal RNA
Source: RNAcentral
CCUACGGGAGGCAGCAGUGGGGGAUAUUGCACAAUGGGGGAAACCCUGAUGCAGCGACGCCGCGUGGGUGAAGACGCGCCUCGGCGCGUAAAGCCCUUUCAGCCGGGAAGAAAAUGACGGUACCUGCAGCAGAAGCCCCGGCUAACUACGUGCCAGCAGCCGCGGUAAUGCGUCGGGGGCAAGCGUUAUCCGGAUUUACUGGGGGGAAAGGGGGCGCAGACGGCGAUGCAAGCCAGGAGUGAAAGCCCGGGGCCCAACCCCGGGACUGCUCUUGGAACUGCGUGGCUAGAGUGCAGGAGGGGCAGGCGGAAUGCCUGGUGUAGCGGUGAAAUGCGUAGAUAUCAGGAGGAACACCGGUGGCGAAGGCGGCCUGCUGGACUGCAACUGACGUUGAGGCCCGAAAGCGUGGGGAGCAAACAGGAUUAGAUACCCGAGUAGUC